AGUACUGAACAACCUUUUUUUUUUAAACUUAAAAAAUGCAAAAUGCUUUUUUUCCCCCCAUUCUCAUCUUAAGGCCAGCUCAGACAACAGACAUUUGUUUAGAGAGAACAGACUGGACUUCUGGUGAAAGAAUGAACAAAUACAAAACUUCACUUUGUCAAAGUAAGCAUGGAGAAAAUCAACUACAGAGCACAAGUCCAUCAGGAAAAUUUAAAAGACAGAGUUCUGAGUUCUGUCCUGUUCACAUGAGGACAAGAAAUGCCACAUCUGCAGAGCACAUCCCAGUGCCCAGCCCAGAGAGCAGAGGAGCCUCCUCAGCCAGGCACUGCACUCUGCUCACAUCCCGUGAUCUCUUCAGCCAGCCCAAGCUCAAGCAAGGCUCCCACUGUUUUUACUGACACCAAGAGGCCUGAGCUGAAGUCUGGGACAAUUCAGCUGGCAUUAAACAGACACAGUUUUGCACUGGUGGCACACUGCACCUCACCCUCACACACUACAGGAUACCAAGCAAGUGGCCACCAAGAGAAAUACUCUACAUGACAGGAACUACACCGGCCAACUCCUGAUAUACAUCCUCCAAGGUGAUUUUCCAUCCUUAACAUGAAGGACAAUUUACAUCACUCAAGUGCUGGGGAACCUUCAUGCACAGCAGAAUAAACCAGACUCAGAAAACUUCCCAUGAUCUCCAUCUACAAAUAAGCAGACUCAUAAGCAAUAUAGGUCAACUUUAAACUGUUUGGGUUUUGGUUUUCAAAAAAAAAACCCAAACUCAGUAGAUGAGCUGUUACACAAUUUAGAACUCUUCCAUCUUCCACAAAUAUUAGGAAGAUAAGCAGUAAACAGAGAAAGACUGGAUAUUUCAUAUAGUACAGGUUUUACUAGGUUUCUGCAUAUUCUACCACUAGAUCCAGAAAUGAUACACAGUGCAGGGACAGUUGUUUUGCAGGGAGGGUUAACUAGACUACAGCAACAGUAUGUAGUUUCCAUCCAGACAUGCAGUAGAAAAAUUAGCAGCAAUGAACUGUCUUCAAGUGAUGCGAUCUGUAAAUGUACAGCCAUGAGAGACUUCAAAGUGCUGCUGAAUUAUACAUAGUCUGAAUCACAGGCAAGGUGAAUUAUCUAUCUCUGCUGGGGUUACACUGAGAAGCACUUUGUCAGGCAUUCAAAUGUCUGAAAAUCUGAGUGAAGACACUGCAGCUCCCAGCCUAUUAUUUGGAGGAAUUAGUAGCACACAGAACAGACAAAUGUUCUUCUGUGUGCAUUUCUGCAGCAUAUGAGAAAGGCUUUGCAAGCCUUUAAGCAAGGUUAAUGAGGGGUCAACAGAGGAGAAGCUAGCAAGACUGUGUUCUGAUAUUCAGCACUGUUAAUGGAACUGAGGCUUUGUGGGCUGCAGUGUUCUCAUCCUGAAAAAAUCUAGCAGUUAAGAGGAAAAAAGAGCACAGUAACCACUGAGCUAGAUUAACAAAAUAUCAACAAAGAGUCCACUGAGCUUAAAAAUCACCCAGCAUCACACAGUUGGUGCCUAGAAAUGGAAGUCUCAGUGCACAAGCACUGCAUCUACUUCUCUGCACCAACACAUAAACCACUUAAUACUUUCCAGCAUUAAAGACUAGGUAGAGAGAUAAAAGGGAAAGGACUCUUCAAAAUGCAUCCCUGCACAGCAAGAGAAAAAAAAACUGAUCAAAGAUCUGCACAGAUCCUUCCAUCACUCUACUGUCUACAAACCACUGAACACAAAAAACUGGUUAAACAGAGCUGAGCAGCUGAUGUUCCAAAAGUACAUAUCCAAGGUAAAAAACACCCCAGCCACUCCUCAUAAGGCUUGUGCUCUGGAGCCACUGCCAGCUUUGCUGCUCUUCAUGACAUGCUCCAGCACCUCACUGCUCUUCUCUUGGUGAGGCACAGAACUUCCCAGGCACUUUCCUGCUCUCCUUAAAGAGGGAAGACAAAACUUCUGACAGGUAGCAAAACACUAUGCAAGGCCAAGGUAAUGCUUAUUGAAAGAAUUAUUUCACCUUGCUCCUUGGCAAGUCUCCACAAGAAGAAUCAGUUUUAUAUAAGCUACAGACAAUCCUCAUGAAGCAUGGAAAUAACCUGAAGAAAGAUAACACUGAAUGUAAAAUAUAUAUCUAGCACAAUAGAAGAGAAUAGGCUUGAAACAGUUACACAUUUUAAGGUUUCUGAUUAAAGGUAAAUAUUUGCUGUAGGUUUCCUCUUACAUACGGUAUUAAAAAACACUUUAACUUUCAGGAAAGUACACAAGUAGUCAACCUAAGACAUUGAGGGAUUAUUCCCAUUGCUUGUCAGUGUCUUGGUGAAAAGCACCUGCUUUCUAAAUUUUUCACCACUGGUUACGUGGAAGGCAAAAGAAAAUGGGUAAAUGA
Long non-coding RNA from Melospiza melodia melodia, 2384 nucleotides. RefSeq lists it as uncharacterized. The record is from RefSeq and is a predicted model, not a curated record. NCBI's taxonomy places the organism in Eukaryota, Metazoa, Chordata, Aves, Passeriformes, Passerellidae. The transcript has 2 exons.